GCCUAAGGGCUGAGAUGGGUUGGAUCAGGCUAGUCCGAUUGAGCCAAGAAAAACUAAAAGAAAAAUUUUUUAAAAAAAUCUAUAUUUAUUUUUUUUACUAUUCGGCUAUUCGCCACCGUCACCGCCGCUGGACCAUCGUUGGUUCCUCUCUGCUCCCUUUGGGUCUCGAAUCUCGAUCAGUCAAUCUCCAUCUCAUGCCCCCCAUCCAACUAUUAGCCUCCGGGCUCUUAGAUCCCCCCUUCUCCUCCUCAUCACCGACACUGCCACCUCUGAGUCCAGUCAUAAGAAUCAAAAUUCUUUCCAUCGAUGGAUGCCCCAUCCAACCUCUCUAGACUCUCAGAAGUCAGAUCCCCCUCCUUCUUCUCCUGCUCGUCACCAAUGCUGCCACCUCCGAGUCAGAUCUAGCCAUGGUGAUGCCCUCACACUGCGUCUGAUCUGAUCUCUACCUAGUGCGGCUACUGCGGUAGUGCCUCCCCUCCUGGCUCCUCUCCUUCCUCCUCCUCAUCACUAGCACCACUGUCUCCAAGUCCGAUCGCAAUGUAUGCCGUAUGCCCCCUCCUCCCUUCCGCUCCAAGCUCUUCGAUCCGACCGUGGCAUCGACGAUCGCUCCAAUUUUUUUUAAAUAUUUUGAUGGGCUGGCCCGGCCCAACCUAUGUCCUUUAAAGGGCUCGACUGGGCCAGCUAUAUGCUGUCCCAUUUUUUGGCUAGGCA
This 711-nucleotide long non-coding RNA is filed under the name Elaeis guineensis (African oil palm). RNAcentral's name for it is "long non-coding RNA (EGUI_LNC026017)". Lineage: Eukaryota; Viridiplantae; Streptophyta; Magnoliopsida; Arecales; Arecaceae. The record is from RNAcentral.